RNAcentral lists this long non-coding RNA (646 nucleotides) under Olea europaea subsp. europaea. Lineage: Eukaryota; Viridiplantae; Streptophyta; Magnoliopsida; Lamiales; Oleaceae. The record is from RNAcentral.
CUGAGCCAUGUAUAUAUCUUCAUGCAAUAUGCCAUUAAGAAAUGCAUUAUUUACAUCAAGUUGGCGUACCUACCAUCCACGAGAAAUAGAAAUGGAGAGAACCACACGUAUGGUUACUGGUUUCACCACAGGACUAAAAGUAUCUGUGUGAUCAAAACCAGGAACUUGAUGGCAACCUUUUGCAACCAAUCGCACCUUAUAUCGAGAGAUAAAACCAUCAGGAUUUCUCUUUAGUUUAAAAACCCAUUUGCAGCCAAUCAACUUUCUAUCUGAGGGCAAAGAGACUAAGUUCCAAGUGUUAUUGUUAAUUAAUGCAGUAUAUUCCUCACGCAUUGCCAUAUUCCACUGAGGACAUUUGAGGGCUUCUUUGAAAGAGUUUUGUUCAGUAUUUUGUAGGUCGGUAGUGAGGAGAACUUCAGAUUAAAAAUUCCAACCUUGGAUCGAGUGACCAUGUGAUGAGUAUUGAUAGGUGUUGGAGACAUAGAUGAUGAAUUUGACUAGGAAGGUAGAUCAAUAGGUAACGAUUUAGGCUCGGUGGUUGAUGUGGUUGAUUCACUAGGGAACAAUGAGGGCAUAUUGUGUGUUGGAGAGUGAGGUGCUCGAGAUUUUUGCCAUGAGGAAUCACUGUUGGGAUCAGUUCUUAGCA